GAAAACGGAAGAGGCGCGUUAUCCAGGUAUCUAUGCGGCGGGGCCCCACCCCAAAGCACCAUAGAGAGGGGGAGCAACGCCGAGAUACGGUAAGACAGGGGGCUUGCCGUAUCGGCUUUGAAGGUUGAAUCCUUCUGGCUGUCACCUGCAGCAUCAAGCACAGGUGGAGAGCUUCUGGUCGC
This is a non-coding RNA of Photobacterium halotolerans, 182 nucleotides long. Lineage: Bacteria; Pseudomonadati; Pseudomonadota; Gammaproteobacteria; Vibrionales; Vibrionaceae. The record is from Rfam.